Molecule: ribosomal RNA, 892 nt
Filed under: Verruciconidia persicina
Lineage: Eukaryota; Fungi; Ascomycota; Sordariomycetes; Hypocreales; Bionectriaceae
Description: LSU rRNA
Rfam family: Eukaryotic large subunit ribosomal RNA
Source: RNAcentral
UAGCAUAUCAAUAAGCGGAGGAAAAGAAACCAACAGGGAUUGCCUCAGUAACGGCGAGUGAAGCGGCAACAGCUCAAAUUUGAAAUCUGGCCCUAGGCCCGAGUUGUAAUUUGCAGAGGAUGUUUCUGGCGAGGUGCCUUCCGAGUUCCCUGGAACGGGACGCCAUAGAGGGUGAGAGCCCCGUACGGUUGGUCGCUAAGCCUCUGUGAAACUCCUUCGACGAGUCGAGUAGUUUGGGAAUGCUGCUCUAAAUGGGAGGUAUACGUCUUCUAAAGCUAAAUACCGGCCAGAGACCGAUAGCGCACAAGUAGAGUGAUCGAAAGAUGAAAAGCACUUUGAAAAGAGGGUUAAAUAGUACGUGAAAUUGUUGAAAGGGAAGCGCUUAUGACCAGACUUGGACCGGUUGAUCAUCCAUCGUUCUCGGUGGUGCACUCUGCCGGUUCAGGCCAGCAUCAGUUUGUCCCGGGGGAUAAAGGCUUUGGGAAUGUGGCUCUUCGGAGUGUUAUAGCCCAUUGCGUAAUACCCUGGGAUAGACUGAGGUUCGCGCUCCGCAAGGAUGCUGGCGUAAUGGUCAUCAGUGACCCGUCUUGAAACACGGACCAAGGAGUCGUCUUCGUAUGCGAGUGUUCGGGUGUCAAACCCCUACGCGUAAUGAAAGUGAACGUAGGAGAGAGCUUCGGCGCAUCUCCGACCGAUCCUGAUGUUCUCGGAUGGAUUUGAGUAAGAGCAUACGGGGCCGGACCCGAAAGAAGGUGAACUAUGCUUGUAUAGGGUGAAGCCAGAGGAAACUCUGGUGGAGGCUCGCAGCGGUUCUGACGUGCAAAUCGAUCGUCAAAUAUGAGCAUGGGGGCGAAAGACUAAUCGAACCUUCUAGUAGCUGGUUUCCGCCGAA